Tannerella sp. CAG:51 is the source of this 90-nucleotide non-coding RNA. Lineage: Bacteria; Pseudomonadati; Bacteroidota; Bacteroidia; Bacteroidales; Tannerellaceae. The record is from Rfam.
ACGAAACAAAAGGGGUGCCCUAAAAGGCUGAGAUUAUACCCUAUGAACCUGACGGAUAAUGCCGGCGUAGGAAUUUGUUCAUAGCAUAUA